GUCAUAGGUAUAGAAGUUCCAAUUCUAUAUUGAAGUACAUUUCAGUUAAAGAACGCCAAAAGUUUAGAAAGGUGAACAUGCCACAACUUCAAGCAGCGAAAGUGAUUCAGAAAUACCACAUGGAAAGCCUGCCAAAAGCAGUGUUAACACCGUAACUGUAGCAUGUAAAGGUGUAAAGACAAAGCAGAAGAAAAAUGGAUCGGCCCGUCUACCAACUAGGCGCCCGGAUCCUAAUGUGUACAACAGGAAUGCAAUACUUGCCCGUGAAAACCGUCGUAAAAAAAAAGCCUACUUGGAGGCCGUCGAGAAGGAGCUUGAUGAAACACGCAAUGCCAACAGAUCACUCUUGAGGGCACUCAAAAAGCAGUUAAGGGCCAAUGUACGGCUGGAGAAGGAAAGAAAUUAUCUCAAAAAAAUUUUAGAUACAAUUAGCAAUGCAGCUAACUUCGGUGGCGCGUGGUGUAAAAACCCACAGAAUUCGGAGACCGAAUGUGAACCGCAUCAGUCACAUACAAAGCAACAUUCUGCGACUUCGUGGAGUAAUUUUCUUGAUGAUUUAUUUGCAGACAAUACGAUGAUGCCUACAUUAUACAAUAAUUGGAAUGAACUUCCCGACCAAAAUAGUAUAGUUCUUACAAACAUUUCAAACACACCUGUGGAAAUAGACAAUCAAAUUUCCAUUUUAGGUGAAGAGCAUAAUUACUUUAAGCAUGGCACAACUUCCAACUAUAGUGGAAAAGAUGGCACUUGUUUUCAUAUUGCUGCCGGGACGAUUUCGCUAGAUUUUUGCCCAAGUUGUCAGUGCAGUUCUAAUCGUGUUCCCCCUAUGGAGCUGCUGCAAGAUAGCUUUGACCACUCAACCAAUUAUUGUCAGUAGUUGUUUCUUAUUUGAAAAUCGAUUAUAUUUUAUUAUUUAAGCUUUAUUCUGUAAAGCACUAUAAUUGUUCCUUAAUUAAUGUGAAUUGUUAAUAUUCAAUAAAUAUGUAUAAGUUAAUAAUGAUAUAUUUAUAUACAUA
This is an RNA transcript of Scaptodrosophila lebanonensis, 1016 nucleotides long. RefSeq lists it as uncharacterized. The record is from RefSeq and is a predicted model, not a curated record. NCBI's taxonomy places the organism in Eukaryota, Metazoa, Arthropoda, Insecta, Diptera, Drosophilidae. The transcript has 3 exons.